CGGAUAAAAUAGCUUGACUUUCAACAAAAUUUAUAGUAUAUUAACUAGAUGUGAAUUGCCUUUUAAAAGCUCCGCUUGGUUAGGUUUGGGUCCUGCGCAAUAGGACUCUGCGAAUCUUGUCAGGUCCGGAAGGAAGCAGCAAUAAGUGGAAGCUCUUAUGUGCCGCAGAUUAGCCUUCUCCUUGCCGGUGGAGCUUUUAAAGGGCAAUUCUUUGUCUUUAUUUG
This 224-nucleotide signal recognition particle RNA is filed under the name Clostridium aminobutyricum. RNAcentral describes it as "signal recognition particle sRNA large type". The stretch from base 84 to 183 matches the Rfam family "Bacterial small signal recognition particle RNA". The record is from RNAcentral. Lineage: Bacteria; Bacillati; Bacillota; Clostridia; Eubacteriales; Clostridiaceae.